This is a long non-coding RNA of Rattus rattus (black rat), 851 nucleotides long. RefSeq lists it as uncharacterized. NCBI's taxonomy places the organism in Eukaryota, Metazoa, Chordata, Mammalia, Rodentia, Muridae. The record is from RefSeq and is a predicted model, not a curated record. The transcript is spliced from 5 exons.
GGAAGAGUCGUUGGAAGAAGAAAUUAGGAAUGCUCAUACCUUUGUGUAUUUUUAAAUAUAUUUUCUUCGUUCUGCGGAGCUCUUGUGCUAUAAAGGUGAAGAACUGCGUAAAGACAGUGUUGGGGAGACUUACGUAGUACCUCUAAAAUCAAAGGUAUCUUAGAAGAUGGUAAUGUGGUUGCCGAUGAUUCUGAAUAAAUACAGCUUUUAUCCCAGGUGUGCCAUUCUGAAGACUGAGACAAUAGAGUUUUUAAGAAUAAAAGAGAACCCUUGGGAAAUUCUGUAUUGUAUAUAUCAAAAAUAUGAAUCCUGAGGUGGAAUGAAAGGCGUGUAUACUAUAGACAUCGAAGCAUUUACACCCAGCUUGAAGAGUUUGAAAUGGACUUUACCACUGAGAAAUCAAGAUGGCAGCCCAUUAUGGGGAAUUGAGGAAAAUGGAUUAAUGCAAGAAUGCUGUGAUAUUACACAACCAACACAGGAUUCUUUUAAUAUGGAUUCCAUGAAAUGAAUGAUUCUUACCCAACACAAAUGGACAGUGGAAUUUACUUCCUAAAGACUUGUUACGUAUCAUGUACAUUUUUGACAUCUGGAGAAGAUGCUACAUUUCUACAAAUGGUAGUUUGUAUUCCUGGAGUUUCUUGAAGUUUGAUCUGAGUGACCUUAUGGAAUGUUAACUUUAAUAAAAUUCUAAAACUUAAAAAAUUCUCAGUUUGGGCCUUUUAUAAAACUUUUUUUCACCGUGGAUGUUUUCAUUAAAUGUUUCAUUAAAGGUGAAAGAAAACCUUGAUGACAUUUUGACCUUUAUAGUUGCUUUUCAUUAAAAUAUACUGAAUAAAGCUGGUAAAAUGGAA